Molecule: ribosomal RNA, 540 nt
Filed under: aff. Aureobasidium sp.
Lineage: Eukaryota; Fungi; Ascomycota; Dothideomycetes; Dothideales; Saccotheciaceae
Description: eukaryotic LSU rRNA
Rfam family: 5.8S ribosomal RNA (bases 185-338)
Source: RNAcentral
UUAAAGAGUAAGGGUGCUCAGCGCCCGACCUCCAACCCUUUGUUGUUAAAACUACCUUGUUGCUUUGGCGGGACCGCUCGGUCUCGAGCCGCCGGGGCUUCGGCCCAGGCGAGCGCCCGCCAGAGUUAAACCAAACUCUUGUUAUUUAAACCGGUCGUCUGAGUUAAAUUUUUGAAUAAAUCAAAACUUUCAACAACGGAUCUCUUGGUUCUCGCAUCGAUGAAGAACGCAGCGAAAUGCGAUAAGUAAUGUGAAUUGCAGAAUUCAGUGAAUCAUCGAAUCUUUGAACGCACAUUGCGCCCCUUGGUAUUCCGAGGGGCAUGCCUGUUCGAGCGUCAUUACACCACUCAAGCACUGCUUGGUAUUGGGCGUCCGUCCUUUCGGGGGCGCGCCUUAAAGACCUCGGCGAGGCCUCACCGGCUUUAGGCGUAGUAGAAUUUAUUCGAACGUCUGUCAAUGGAGAGGACUUCUGCCGACUGAAACCUUUUAUAUUUUUCUAGGUUGACCUCGGAUCAGGUAGGGAUACCCGCUGAACUUAAG